GGGUUAGUAGGUUGGUCAUGCCUCUGGUAUGUACUGGUCUCACUGAUUCCUCCUUCCUGAUGAGCCGUAAUGCCAUUAAUUUGGUGUUGCGAGGAAUCUGGACUGUUACUUUGAAAAAAUUAGAGUGUCUAAAGCAGGCGAACGCUUGAAUACAUUAGCAUGGAAUAAUGAAAUAGGACGUUCGAUCCUAUUUUGUUGGUUUCUAGGACCGAAGUAAUGAUUAAUAGGGAUAGUUGGGC
This 239-nucleotide ribosomal RNA is filed under the name uncultured Glomeromycotina. RNAcentral describes it as "partial 18S ribosomal RNA". The stretch from base 40 to 239 matches the Rfam family "Eukaryotic small subunit ribosomal RNA", at positions 686 to 887 of the family's 1831-position model. The record is from RNAcentral. Lineage: Eukaryota; Fungi; Glomeromycota.